UACGGAGGGUGCAAGCGUUGUUCGGAAUCAUUGGGCGUAAAGCGCGCGCAGGCGGUCUGGAAAGUCUGACGUGAAAUCCCGGGGCUCAACCUCGGAAUUGCGUUGGAACCUAUCAGACUUGAGUAUGGGGGAGGUCCGUGGAAUUCCAGGUGUAGGGGUGAGAUCCGUAGAGAUCUGGAGGAACACCAGUGGCGAAAGCGACGGACUGGACCAAGACUGACGCUGAGGCGCGAAAGCGUGGGGAGCAAACAGG
This 253-nucleotide unclassified non-coding RNA is filed under the name uncultured Bradymonadales bacterium. RNAcentral describes it as "contains 16S-23S intergenic spacer region". It matches the Rfam family "Bacterial small subunit ribosomal RNA", at positions 524 to 776 of the family's 1533-position model. Lineage: Bacteria; Deltaproteobacteria; Bradymonadales. The record is from RNAcentral.